GAUGAACGCUGGCGGCGUGCCUAAUACAUGCAAGUCGAGCGAACGGACGAGGAGCUUGCUUCUCUGACGUUAGCGGCGGACGGGUGAGUAACACGUGGAUAACCUACCUAUAAGACUGGGAUAACUUCGGGAAACCGGAGCUAAUACCGGAUGAUAUUUUGAACCGCAUGGUUCAAUAGUGAAAGACGGUCUUGCUGUCACUUAUAGAUGGAUCCGCGCUGCAUUAGCUAGUUGGUAAGGUAACGGCUUACCAAGGCAACGAUGCAUAGCCGACCUGAGAGGGUGAUCGGCCACACUGGAACUGAGACACGGUCCAGACUCCUACGGGAGGCAGCAGUAGGGAAUCUUCCGCAAUGGGCGAAAGCCUGACGGAGCAACGCCGCGUGAGUGAUGAAGGUCCUCGGAUCGUAAAACUCUGUUAUUAGGGAAGAACAUAUGUGUAAGUAACUGUGCACAUCUUGACGGUACCUAAUCAGAAAGCCACGGCUAACUACGUG
This 497-nucleotide ribosomal RNA is filed under the name uncultured bacterium. RNAcentral describes it as "partial 16S ribosomal RNA". It matches the Rfam family "Bacterial small subunit ribosomal RNA", at positions 28 to 507 of the family's 1533-position model. The record is from RNAcentral.